This 185-nucleotide ribosomal RNA is filed under the name uncultured Staphylococcus sp. RNAcentral describes it as "partial 16S ribosomal RNA". It matches the Rfam family "Bacterial small subunit ribosomal RNA", at positions 155 to 334 of the family's 1533-position model. Lineage: Bacteria; Bacillati; Bacillota; Bacilli; Caryophanales; Staphylococcaceae. The record is from RNAcentral.
AACCGGAGCUAAUACCGGAUAAUAUAUUGAACCGCAUGGUUCAAUAGUGAAAGACGGUUUUGCUGUCACUUAUAGAUGGAUCCGCGCCGCAUUAGCUAGUUGGUAAGGUAACGGCUUACCAAGGCAACGAUGCGUAGCCGACCUGAGAGGGUGAUCGGCCACACUGGAACUGUGACACGGUCCAG